UGAACGCUGGCGGCGUGCUUAACACAUGCAAGUCGAACGGAAAGGCUCCCGCUUGCGGGGUACUCGAGUGGCGAACGGUGUGAGUUACACGUGGGUGAUCUGCCCUGUACUUCGGGAUAAGCCUGGGAAACUGGGUCUAAUACUGGAUAGGACUGCCAGCUGGUGCUGGUGGUGGAAAGCUUUUGCGGUAUGGGAUGAGCUCGCGGCCUAUCAGCUUGUUGGUGGGGUAAUGGCCUACCAAGGCGUCGACGGGUAGCCGGCCUGAGAGGGUGUACGGCCACAUUGGGACUUAGACACGGUCCAGACUCCUACGGGAGGCAGCAGUAGGGAAUCUUCCACAAUGGGUGCAAGCCUGAUGGAGCAAUGCCGCGUGAGUGAAGAAGGACUUCGGUUCGUAAAGCUCUGUUGUUGGGGAAGAACACGGAUAGGAGUUACUGCCUAUCCCUUGACGGUACCCAACCAGAAAGUCACGGCUAACUACGUGCCAGCAGCCGCGGUAAUACGUAGGUAACAAGCGUUGUCCGGAAUUACUGGGCGUAAAGAGCUCGUAGGUGGUUUGUCGCGUCGUUUGUGUAAGUCCAUGGCUUAACUGUGGACUGCAGGCGAUACGGGCAUAACUUGAGUGCUGUAGGGGAGACUGGACUCCUGGUGUAGCGGUGAAAUGCGCAGAUAUCAGGAGGAACACCGAUGGCGAAGGCAGGUCUCUGGGCAGUACUGACGCUGAGGAGCGAAAGCAUGGUAGCGAACAGG
Molecule: ribosomal RNA, 750 nt
Filed under: uncultured bacterium
Lineage: Bacteria
Description: bacterial SSU rRNA
Rfam family: Bacterial small subunit ribosomal RNA
Source: RNAcentral